UACGUAGGUGGCAAGCGUUAUCCGGAAUUAUUGGGCGUAAAGCGCGCGCAGGCGGUUUUCUUAAGUCUGAUGUGAAAGCCCACGGCUCAACCGUGGAGGGUCAUUGGAAACUGGGGAACUUGAGUGCAGAAGAGAAAAGCGGAAUUCCACGUGUAGCGGUGAAAUGCGUAGAGAUGUGGAGGAACACCAGUGGCGAAGGCGGCUUUUUGGUCUGUAACUGACGCUGAGGCGCGAAAGCGUGGGGAGCAAACAGG
RNAcentral lists this ribosomal RNA (254 nucleotides) under uncultured bacterium. RNAcentral's name for it is "partial 16S ribosomal RNA". It matches the Rfam family "Bacterial small subunit ribosomal RNA", at positions 524 to 776 of the family's 1533-position model. The record is from RNAcentral.